ACCGGCAUGGCGCAGCGGCAGCGCGCGGGGCUCAUAACUCCGAGGACACUCGAUCGAAACGAGUUGCCGGUA
This 72-nucleotide transfer RNA is filed under the name bacterium. RNAcentral describes it as "tRNA-Met". It matches the Rfam family "tRNA". From Rfam's summary of the family: Transfer RNA (tRNA) molecules are approximately 80 nucleotides in length. Their secondary structure includes four short double-helical elements and three loops (D, anti-codon, and T loops). Further hydrogen bonds mediate the characteristic L-shaped molecular structure. tRNAs have two regions of fundamental functional importance: the anti-codon, which is responsible for specific mRNA codon recognition, and the 3' end, to which the tRNAs corresponding amino acid is attached (by aminoacyl-tRNA synthetases). tRNAs cope with the degeneracy of the genetic code in two manners: having more than one tRNA (with a specific anti-codon) for a particular amino acid; and 'wobble' base-pairing, i.e. permitting non-standard base-pairing at the 3rd anti-codon position. The record is from RNAcentral. RNAcentral also lists the same sequence under 1 other name.